AUGCAGAAUGGCACAUACUUCAUGUCUGAGUUAUGGACAAAUGACGAAGUUGUAAGGGAGAGUUUGGGUAUUCACGAGGGAACAGUUCCAUCAUGGCAACGAUGUGAUUUCAACCUACCUUACACAAAGGAAAUCACUAGUACGGUAGAUGAUCAUUUAGCCUUGAUUACUAAAGGGUACCGGGCGAUGAUAUACAGUGGAGACCAUGACUGUUCAUUAUCCUAUGUUUACACCCAAGCAUGGAUUAGACGACUAAACCUGCCCAUCACAGAUCGUUGGCGACCAUGGCAUGUGGACAACCAAAUUGUUGGAUACACAAGAAGUUUCUCCAACAAUCUAACAUAUGCAACAAUAAAGGGUGCCGGACACACAGCCCCGGAGUACAUGCCGAGGGAGUGCCUUGCUAUGAUGGAUAGGUGCCUCUCUGACUGA
Molecule: ribosomal RNA, 432 nt
Filed under: Triticum aestivum (bread wheat)
Lineage: Eukaryota; Viridiplantae; Streptophyta; Magnoliopsida; Poales; Poaceae
Description: partial small subunit ribosomal RNA
Source: RNAcentral